Molecule: ribosomal RNA, 838 nt
Filed under: Streptococcus agalactiae
Lineage: Bacteria; Bacillati; Bacillota; Bacilli; Lactobacillales; Streptococcaceae
Description: partial 23S ribosomal RNA
Rfam family: Bacterial large subunit ribosomal RNA
Source: RNAcentral
AUAAGGUUAAGUUAAUAAGGGCGCACGGUGGAUGCCUUGGCACUAGAAGCCGAAGAAGGACGUGACUAACGACGAAAUGCUUUGGGGAGCUGUAAGUAAGCGCUGAUCCAGAGAUGUCCGAAUGGGGGAACCCACUAGUUAAUGACUAGUAUCCAUAUCUGUUAAGGAUAUGAGAAGGAAGACGCAGUGAACUGAAACAUCUAAGUAGCUGCAGGAAGAGAAAGCAAAAGCGAUUGCCUUAGUAGCGGCGAGCGAAACGGCAGGAGGGCAAACCGAAGUGUUUACACUUCGGGGUUGUAGGACUGCGAUAUAGGAUUAAUCAUUAUAGAAGAAUUACCUGGGAAGGUAAGCCAAAGAGAGUAACAGCCUCGUAUUUAAAAUGAUAGAUUAACCUUAGCAGUAUCCUGAGUACGGCGAGACACGCGAAAUCUCGUCGGAAUCUGGGAGGACCAUCUCCCAACCCUAAAUACUCUCUAGUGACCGAUAGUGAACCAGUACCGUGAGGGAAAGGUGAAAAGCACCCCGGGAGGGGAGUGAAAUAGAACCUGAAACCGUGUGCCUACAACAAGUUCGAGCCCGUUAAUGGGUGAGAGCGUGCCUUUUGUAGAAUGAACCGGCGAGUUACGAUAUGAUGCGAGGUUAAGUUGAAGAGACGGAGCCGUAGGGAAACCGAGUCUUAAUAGGGCGUCAUAGUAUCAUGUUGUAGACCCGAAACCAUGUGACCUACCCAUGAGCAGGUUGAAGGUGAGGUAAAACUCACUGGAGGACCGAAACAUGGCACGGUGACAAGGGCUUGGAUGACUUGUGGGUAGCGGAGAAAUUUCAAACGAAGUUGGAG